UACAAUCCCAGCCCUGAAGUUGUUGGAAAGAAUACAGAUUUGUAAAACACAAAUUAGUCUCCAAGAUAUUUUAGUGAUGCUUCAGGUCAUUCACUAACGACCUGAUGUUUCUGUAGUUUGAAGUUUCUGGAAUUAUUAGCCCAAAUCAAUGUUACUCUAUUAUUUUCCAGCCAAACUGUUUUUUUUUUCUCUGAAUAAGUCAGUUGCCUAUGUAAGAAUAGACUUUCUAAAUAUUCACGUAGAGUUUAAAUAGCUUUCAGGGGAAGAAUGCAAGAGAAAAUCAUGGUUUAAAGAAUAUGAAAGCAACUGAUAUAUUUCUACUGGAAAUUUAAGAAUCUCUACCAUGAAAUUAUUUCUUUAAUGGGCUGCCAAAUGAGUUGAGACUGGAAGGAGUGGUAGUUAGGUGACUUUAAGUAUUUUGUUCCUAUUGAUUAACCAAAAGAACUGUAAGGAAUAUUCCUAUAGGAAUAUCUGGUUUAGAACUAGCAAAUCCUCUUAAUUGGUUGAGGAAAUACCACCACAAAUUAAUCUUAGUCCACAUUGCUUGUCUCUACAUACUAGCUGGAAACGUCUUUAUUUUUUUUUUUUUAAAGCACUCUUACUUCUGUCAGAGAGACCUUAAUAGAAGUAUUUCAGACUGCUUCAUUCUUUAUCUUUUUGAUUAAACACACACAUGCACAUGCACACGUGGAAGGAAUCUGUAGGAAACUAAUUGACCAUGGUCCAUGGUCAUCUUAUUUGGGCUUAAAGGAUGGAAGAGGCUCCAUUAGGAAGAGAAUGGAGCAACAUGAAUCUGAAGAAAGAGGAAGGACAGGCAACUGGAGCCCAUGGAGUAACCUCGUGGAGACUCCAUGUCCGUGUGAUGUACAUUUUUAAGAAGCUGAUGGUACAGUCAGAGAGCAUGUCGGACAUCUGGAUGCUCUGUUUACUUGAAGAACCACUCUUGUGUCCGUGUCCACAAUCAACUUGAUAUUCCAGAUCUAGCUGCAUUCAAAAUGGCAGAUUGGUUUUAUAACUUUGAACAAAAAUUAGUUAAAUGAACCAUUCUGUAUUGAUAAA
Microcebus murinus (gray mouse lemur) is the source of this 1059-nucleotide long non-coding RNA. RefSeq lists it as uncharacterized. Lineage: Eukaryota; Metazoa; Chordata; Mammalia; Primates; Cheirogaleidae. The record is from RefSeq and is a predicted model, not a curated record.